Camelina sativa (false flax) is the source of this 626-nucleotide non-coding RNA. NCBI's taxonomy places the organism in Eukaryota, Viridiplantae, Streptophyta, Magnoliopsida, Brassicales, Brassicaceae. The record is from RefSeq and is a predicted model, not a curated record.
GCAGUUCAAGCACUUCAGGUUUUGUAUACUUCACUUAAUAGUCCUUCACAGCUAACCAAUUGGAAAAAUGGUGGUGGUGAUCCAUGUGGAGAGUUAUGGAAAGAGAUUCCUUGUGAAGGCUCAACAGUUGUCACUAUAGAUAUAUCGGAUUUAGGAGUCUCUGGCACUCUUGGAUACUUGCUUCCAGGCUAAUGUCACUAAGAAAAUUGGAUGUUAGUUGUAACACCAUCCAUGAUACACUUCCAUAUCAAUUGCCACUGAAUCACACAAGCAUAUAUCUGUCGAGAAACAACCUAAGUGGUAACCUUCCAUAUUCCAUAUCUGCAAUGGGUUCUCUUUCGUAUAUGUGUGUUUGCUAUUAUAGAACCAUAGAUUGUGAGAACUAGCAUACUUCUUUUUUGCUUAGAAUUAAACUUUGAAAUGUUACUGUCUAGACAUGUAAGUGGCAAUUCACUUUCAAUGUCGACAGGAGAUAUCUUUGCCAAUCAUAAGUCACUUUCAACCUUGUAAGAUCUCUUUAUCAUAGACUUCAUAGUCAUCACUGCCAGUUUCUAGGUAAAGAGAAUACAUUUGGAUGGCUUAUAAAAUAAUCGUUGGGUCAGUCUCAGACAUGAAACUCUAGCAGA